RNAcentral lists this long non-coding RNA (287 nucleotides) under Homo sapiens (human). Its description in RNAcentral is "HSALNT0340574". The record is from RNAcentral. Lineage: Eukaryota; Metazoa; Chordata; Mammalia; Primates; Hominidae.
UGCAGAGCUCUCGUCCACCAGGCGGUCAUACUCCAGCAGGAACUCGUCCAGCUCGCCGGAGUCCCCGAAGGCGCCCCACUCGGUGAAAAUGGAAGUAAGAGAAGUAUAGAACCACACGGCUGUGCGCACAGCAGAUAACUGAUCUGAUUGGAUUGCUCCUCAGUGAAGGCUGGUUAUAAUGACCUCCGGAACUUCUGAGAAAGGGCCCUUGAAGCCUGUUGUACACAGGGAGCCUCAGCAGUCUGGAAGGGGCAGGGGUGCAAGGAGCCCUUACCCACGAUCAUGCC